GUGGGGAAUCUUAGACAAUGGGCGCAAGCCUGAUCUAGCCAUGCCGCGUGAGGGAUGAAGGCCCUAGGGUUGUAAAGCUCUUUCAGCUGGGAAGAUAAUGACGGUACCAGCAGAAGAAGCCCCGGCUAACUCCGUGCCAGCAGCCGCGGUAAUACGGAGGGGGCUAGCGUUGUUCGGAAUUACUGGGCGUAAAGCGCGCGUAGGCGGACUGAAAAGUUGGGGGUGAAAUCCCGGGGCUCAACCUCGGAACUGCCUUCAAAACUAUCAGUCUGGAGUUCGAGAGAGGUGAGUGGAAUUCCGAGUGUAGAGGUGAAAUUCGUAGAUAUUCGGAGGAACACCAGUGGCGAAGGCGGCUCACUGGCGCGAUACUGACGCUGAGGUGCGAAAGCGUGGGGAGCAAACAGGAUUAGAAACCCUGGUAGUCC
RNAcentral lists this ribosomal RNA (425 nucleotides) under uncultured bacterium. RNAcentral's name for it is "partial 16S ribosomal RNA". It matches the Rfam family "Bacterial small subunit ribosomal RNA", at positions 354 to 796 of the family's 1533-position model. The record is from RNAcentral.